GAUGAACGCUGGCGGCGUGCCUAAUACAUGCAAGUCGAGCGAACAGACGAGGAGCUUGCUCCUCUGACGUUAGCGGCGGACGGGUGAGUAACACGUGGAUAACCUACCUAUAAGACUGGGAUAACUUCGGGAAACCGGAGCUAAUACCGGAUAAUAUAUUGAACCGCAUGGUUCAAUAGUGAAAGACGGUUUUGCUGUCACUUAUAGAUGGCUCCGCGCCGCAUUAGCUAGUUGGUAAGGUAACGGCUUACCAAGGCGACGAUGCGUAGCCGACCUGAGAGGGUGAUCGGCCACACUGGAACUGAGACACGGUCCAGACUCCUACGGGAGGCAGCAGUAGGGAAUCUUCCGCAAUGGGCGAAAGCCUGACGGAGCAACGCCGCGUGAGUGAUGAAGGUCUUCGGAUCGGAAAACUCUGUUAUUAGGGAAGAACAAAUGUGUAAGUAACUAUGCACGUCUUGACGGUACCUAAUCAGAAAGCCACGGCUAACUACGUG
Molecule: ribosomal RNA, 497 nt
Filed under: uncultured bacterium
Lineage: Bacteria
Description: partial 16S ribosomal RNA
Rfam family: Bacterial small subunit ribosomal RNA
Source: RNAcentral